AUAAUAUUGCUACAUCAAAUAUUGUACAGUUUAAUUUAAUGGCUUGAGUCUGAGUUGAGUUUUACUCUUGUCUUUGGCCAAGACAAGAGUACGAUUAUCACUGAUAUCUUGAUUCGAUACGAUACCAAUUCACAGUUCUCUCAAUUCCAGAGCUUCGUUGGCGUCCCUGGCCUGCAUUAAAGCAACAACAAAAAACAAUAAGUAAAAGUAGCCCAAUACAGGUGUGUUUUCUCACCGUUUUGAACCAAAAUGAAGACAUGAAGUUGAUACGAUUCCAAAUGCUCAUCUCCGAAGGGGGAUAAAUCCCAUGUAGAUGCAGAUGCUUCACUGAGAUGAAUGGCGGGAUGUGAAAUCCAAUAAUCGCCUUCGAAGGGUCAACAUUCUUCGAUUUUAGCAGCUCGACCAUGCCCGAUUCCAUCCGCAGCACUGAUCAACAAACACAUGCACAUGAAUAAAUUAUAAACAGACAACUACA
Molecule: long non-coding RNA, 475 nt
Organism: Drosophila pseudoobscura
Lineage: Eukaryota; Metazoa; Arthropoda; Insecta; Diptera; Drosophilidae
Exons: 2
Source: RefSeq, a predicted model, not a curated record